RNAcentral lists this ribosomal RNA (397 nucleotides) under uncultured bacterium. RNAcentral's name for it is "partial 16S ribosomal RNA". It matches the Rfam family "Bacterial small subunit ribosomal RNA", at positions 523 to 918 of the family's 1533-position model. The record is from RNAcentral.
AUACGUAGGGGGCGAGCGUUGUCCGGAAUGAUUGGGCGUAAAGGGCGCGUAGGCGGCCCGGUAAGUCUGGAGUGAAAGUCCUGUUUUUAAGAUGGGAAUUGCUUUGGAUACUGUCGGGCUUGAGUGCAGGAGAGGUAAGUGGAAUUCACAGUGUAGCGGUGAAAUGCGUAGAGAUUGGGAGGAACACCAGUGGCGAAGGCGACUUACUGGACUGUAACUGACGCUGAGGCGCGAAAGUGUGGGGAGCAAACAGGAUUAGAUACCCUGGUAGUCCACACUGUAAACGAGGAAUGCUUGGUGUAGGGGGUAUCGACCCCUUCUGUGCCGCAGUCAACACAAUAAGCAUUCCGCCUGGGGAGUACGGCCGCAAGGUUGAAACUCAAAUGAAUUGACGGGG